Molecule: ribosomal RNA, 464 nt
Filed under: uncultured bacterium
Lineage: Bacteria
Description: bacterial SSU rRNA
Rfam family: Bacterial small subunit ribosomal RNA
Source: RNAcentral
GACGAACGCUGGCGGCGUGCCUAACACAUGCAAGUCGAGCGAGGAGAGUUCCUUCGGGAACAAACCUAGCGGCGGACGGGUGAGUAACACGUGGGCAACCUGCCUUGUAGAGGGGAAUAGCCUUCCGAAAGGAAGAUUAAUACCGCAUAACAUUACAGUUUCGCAUGAAACAGUAAUUAAAGGAGUAAUCCGCUACAAGAUGGGCCCGCGGCGCAUUAGCUAGCUGGUGAGGUAACGGCUCACCAAGGCGACGAUGCGUAGCCGACCUGAGAGGGUGAUCGGCCACAUUGGGACUGAGACACGGCCCAGACUCCUACGGGAGGCAGCAGUGGGGAAUAUUGCACAAUGGGGGAAACCCUAAUGCAGCAACGCCGCGUGAGUGAUGAAGGUUUUCGGAUCGUAAAGCUCUGUCUUCGGGGACGAUAAUGACGGUACCCGAGGAGGAAGCCACGGCUAACUACGUG